GUUGAUCCCCCAUAACCCCAAGGUCAGGGGUUUAACCCCCAGCGCAUGCACUUCUUUGUUUUUAUUUUUUUCACUCUUAUUUUAUUUAUUUUUCUCUAUAUUUAUUUCCAAUUUUAUUUAAAUUUUUACCCCACUUAUUUUUAUUAUUCUGAAAACAUUUCCAUCAUGGACCCUUGUUAUUUUUGCCUCUACUAUUUAUUUAUGCUUUGUUUCAUGUCAUUUUGAUAUUUUUUGGUUUACUUUU
RNAcentral lists this long non-coding RNA (244 nucleotides) under Lathyrus oleraceus (garden pea). RNAcentral's name for it is "Pisum sativum (pea) long non-coding RNA (PSAT_LNC033843)". Lineage: Eukaryota; Viridiplantae; Streptophyta; Magnoliopsida; Fabales; Fabaceae. The record is from RNAcentral.